Molecule: long non-coding RNA, 2296 nt
Organism: Oreochromis aureus
Lineage: Eukaryota; Metazoa; Chordata; Actinopteri; Cichliformes; Cichlidae
Source: Ensembl
ACAACAACAACAGCUGCCUCCACCACCACAACAGCGGCCACCACCACCACAACACCUGCCACAACAACAACAACGGCAGCCACCACCACCACAGCCCCAGUCACUACAACAACAACAGCUGCCACCACCACUACAGCUGCCACCACCACCACAACACCUGCCACAACAACAACAACAAUGGCUGCCACCACCACCACAGUCCCAGCAACUACUACAACAAAAGCUGCCACCACCACAACAGCGGCCACCACCACCACAACAGCGGCCACCACCACCACAACACCUGCCACAACAACAACAACGGCAGCCACCACCAGCACAGCCCCAGCCACUACAACAACAACAGCUGCCACCACCACCCCAGCUGCCACCACCACCACAGCUGCCACCACCACCACAACACCUGCCACAACAACAACAACAACGGCUCCCACUACCACCACAGCACCAACUACAAAAACAACAGCUGCCACCACCACCACAACACCAGCGACAACAACGGCUCCCACAACCACUGCCCCAGCCAUUACAACAACAACAGCUGCCACCACCACCACAGCUGCCACUACCACCACAACACCUGCCACAACAACAACAACGGCAGCCACCACCACAACACCUGCCACAACAACAACAACGGCAGCCACCACCACCACAACACCUGCCACAACAACAACAACAACAACGGCUCCCACUACCACCACAGCACCAACUACAAAAACAACAGCUGCCACCACCACAACCGCGGCCACCACCACCACCACAACACCUGCCACAACAACAACAACAACAACAAUGGCUCCCACUACCACCACAGCACCAACUACAAAAACAGCAGCUGCCACCACCACAACACCUGCCACCACCACCUCAGUACCAGCUACAACUGCAACGACAGCUUUCACCACCACCACAGCAGCCACCACCACCACAACACCUGCCACAACAACAACAACAACGGCUCCCACUACCACCACAGCAGCAACUACAACAACAACAACAGCUGCCACCACAACUACAUCUGCCACCACCACCUCAGUCCCAGUCUCUACGUCAACGACUGCUUCCACCACCCCCGUUCUUGUUGUUUUCAGAUCCAUUGAAAGUAAUUUUACAAAUGACUUGUUGAAUUCAUCAUCUGAAGCUUUUAAAACUCGAGCUGCAAUUAUAAAGGCACAGCUGGAACCUCCUUACAGAAUUGCGUUCCCUUCCUUGGUCUCCUUGAAUGUUGUGAGCUUCAGGCAGGGAUCAGUCAUCAACACCAUAGAACUUCAGUUUGUAAACACAUCUGUACCAAACAACACUGCGAUUAGCAAUGUUUUGAACAGUACAGCCUCAAACGUUUCAGGCUUUGACAUCGAAAGGGCCUCCAUCACUGUCAAUGACACAUCUGCUGCAUCAACUACUACAUCAACUACUACAACUGUUGUACCAACAACUACAGCAUCCACAAGUAAAACUGCUGUAUCUACAACUACGGCUUCAAGUGGAGUAUGCCACAAGAUUAAUUCCAGCACUGUUUUACCCCUGGUGCUGCUGUUAUGGCUUCUAUCAAGCCAGCAAUAGCAUCUGUGCUGGUUUCCAUGUGAAAGGCAAGCAGAAGAUGAUGCAACUCUUUAUUUAUUGGACACAUCAGAAAGAGUAGAUUUGCUAUAUUUUUCAAUAUGAAAAUAUUUCUGGGUGGGAAUGACCCUGGUAUAAACAGAAUGACACAGACAAAGGCAAUAGAUUAAAACAUAUGGGUGUUAUAUCUUAAAGGCUUAGUAGUUUAUGCUGUUCAAUUCAUUUCAAUUCAAUUUUAUUUAUAUAGCGCCAAACCACACUAACAGUCACCUCAAGGUAAUUUAUAUUGUGAAGUACCUUGCAUUGUAUUAUAAGGUAAAGACCCCACAAAGACCUCCUUGCUUGUAAGUGUGUCUCUGCCUACAUGUCUGUUAACUGUUCCUCUUUCAUGUAGAAAAAAAGACUAAACAUAAAAAAUAUAUAGAAAGAACUUUUUAACAAAAUCAUCCCCAACAGCUCUUAUUAUAUUUUCUAAAUGCAAAUGAUAUGUUUUAGGUUUCACUUCAUAUAGAGCAUACACAGCAUAUAUAUCACAAAUAUAUCUAUCUAUCUCUCUCUCUCUCUAUAUAUAUAUACAUAUAUAUAUAUAUAUAUAUAUAUAUAUAUAUAUAUAUGUAUGUAUAAUAAAGUGUAAUGAGUAGUUCUACAUACAUACAUACAUACAAAUUGUAUUUGUAUUGUUUGACAUGUCUUUUAAUUUUUACAUUUUCUGUAAGAAAGUCACAAUGACCAG